Humulus lupulus (European hop) is the source of this 473-nucleotide long non-coding RNA. RefSeq lists it as uncharacterized. NCBI's taxonomy places the organism in Eukaryota, Viridiplantae, Streptophyta, Magnoliopsida, Rosales, Cannabaceae. The transcript is spliced from 4 exons. The record is from RefSeq and is a predicted model, not a curated record.
UCAACCUUUAUUUUUAAUACUUGUGCUCUGUAACUGUAAAUUUUCUAUAUAUAGGGAGCUUUGGAAGACAAACUAUCCGCAGCAGAGAGCCAGCAAAAACCUUAGACACAGUAUUAAGAUGUAUUUCGACGGAUAUGGGUAUCAUGGAGCCUCAUUUGAGCAGACAUAUCGAUGUUACCCUUCAUCCUUUAUCGAUAAGGAUAAUUGGCCUUCUGUGAUGUUUGCAAUGGCAGGAGGGGUGGUACUUAGCCUUGGAAAUCUCUCAACUCAGUAUGCUUGGGCUUUUGUUAGCUUAUCAGUCACAUAAGUGAUCACUGCAGGCAUAACAGUUGUUAUAGGAACAACCUCGAAUUACUUUUUAGACAAUAGAAUUAAUAGAGCCGAGAUCCUUUUCCCUGGCGUUGGCUGCUUCUUGGUUGUAGUUUGCCUUACUUCUACUGUCCAAUCAUCUGAUGCAGCUGAUAAUAAAGAAA